Molecule: long non-coding RNA, 1170 nt
Filed under: Macaca nemestrina (pig-tailed macaque)
Lineage: Eukaryota; Metazoa; Chordata; Mammalia; Primates; Cercopithecidae
Description: lncRNA (ENSMNEG00000046191.1)
Source: RNAcentral
CUUUGAAGAAGAAAUGACAUUUGACCUAUACCUUGAAGGAUGGAUAGGAAUUUCCAGUUGGAGAAUGGAAGAAAGCACAUUCCAAGCAUUGGAGCACUAUGAAGAGAAGGGAGCAAGUUUGAAUCCAUGAAUGAGUGGAAAGCAGAGAAUAAUGUAUUUGAAUGUUGAGGUGCUUUGAAGGAAGUUGCAGACGAUGAAGCUGGAAGGAUAGUCUUUGGUUAUAUUUUACAGGAGACUGUGGAAAAUUAGUGAUUAUAGUUUAUACAGAAAUAUUUUUCUACAUCUUUAUAAACUGCUUUUUCCAUAUUUUGUAGAUUUAUGACAAAGUCCAGUUUUCAACAAUGCUGGAAUCAAAUGAUUGCUUGUUUUCCUUGGAUAAUUUGUUUUUUGAAAAACCAGAUGAAGUUGAAAACCAUCCAGAUAAUGAAAAGUCAUUAGAUUGGUUUCUCCCUCCUGCUCCAUUGAUUUCAGAAAUUCCAGAUACUCAGGAGUUAGAUGAAGAAUUAGAAAGUCAUAAACUGUGAGGUCAGGAAAAGAGGCCAAAAAUGUUAACAUCAAAUUUAAAGAUAACUAAUGAAGACACAAAUUAUAUUUCGCAAAGAUAACUAAUGAAGACACAAAUUAUAUUUUGCCAACACAAAAAUUCCAAUUUGCCUUUCCUUCUAAUAAAUAUGAACAGGAUGAUCUAAAUUUAGAAGGGGUAGGUAAAAAUGACUUAUCACAUGUUGCUGGCAAGCUGACAUAUGGUUCUCAGAAAUAUAAAAAUCACAUUGGCACUGAGAUAGCACCUGAGAAGAGUGUUCCUGAUGAUACAAAAUUAGUUAAUUUUGCAGAAGAUAAAGGAGAGAGCACAUCAGUAUUCUGGAAAAUGUAAUUAUUAUAAUUAAACCAAAUAAUAUUCUGUGAAUAAAUUUGAAUAUUUGUACAUCUAAAAGUAUUAAAUAUGGUAGAAUGUGAAUGAGAAAAACAGCAAAAUUCUAUCUCCUAAAUAAUUCCUUACUUUCUGCAUUCCUGGUGUCAUAGUCCUUGUGCUACACAUAAAAAUAACCAUAAUUGUAAUAUUUAACUGUCUACUACAAAUGGUACCACAAUAGUCCAGGUGGGACACAGGAAUCUUCAUUUUGAACAAAUUUUCUAGGUGAUUAUUAUGCAUACAAAAGUUCGAGGCCC